This 253-nucleotide ribosomal RNA is filed under the name uncultured bacterium. Its description in RNAcentral is "partial 16S ribosomal RNA". It matches the Rfam family "Bacterial small subunit ribosomal RNA", at positions 524 to 776 of the family's 1533-position model. The record is from RNAcentral.
UACGUAGGUGGCAAGCGUUGUCCGGAUUUACUGGGCGUAAAGAGCGCGCAGGCGGUCGUUCAAGUCGCGUGUGAAAGCCCCCGGCUCAACUGGGGAGGGUCACGCGAUACUGAUCGACUCGAAGGCAGGAGAGGGUAGUGGAAUUCCCGGUGUAGUGGUGAAAUGCGUAGAGAUCGGCAGGAACACCCAGGGGGAAACCAGCCGACUGGGCAUCUACUGACGCUGAGGUGCGAGAGCGUGGGGAGCGAACCGG